CAGUCGCCGCGGUAACACGAAGGGGGCUAGCGUUGCUCGGAAUGACUGGGCGUAAAGGGCGCGUAGGCGGCGAUCAAAGUCAGGCGUGAAAUUCCUGGGCUCAACCUGGGGGCUGCGCUUGAUACUUGGUUGCUUGAGUGGGGAAGAGGGUCGUGGAAUUCCCAGUGUAGAGGUGAAAUUCGUAGUUAUUGGGAAGAACACCGGUGGCGAAGGCGGCGACCUGGUCCUUGACUGACGCUGAGGCGCGAAAGCGUGGGGAGCAAACAGGAUUAGAUACCCGCGUAGUCCCUGUCUCUUAUAC
This 301-nucleotide ribosomal RNA is filed under the name uncultured bacterium. RNAcentral describes it as "partial 16S ribosomal RNA". It matches the Rfam family "Bacterial small subunit ribosomal RNA", at positions 509 to 807 of the family's 1533-position model. The record is from RNAcentral.